GAGAGAGAGAGAGGUGCGCAUCUAUGAGAAUGGAGUAGGAAAAGAAAGUGGGGGAAAAUGGCAUUCUUUAAAUCUCUCUCUCUCUCAUUAAAUUUCAUGAUUUUUCCCAACCAUUUUCAAAAAGCACAUAGUUUCUCCUUCAAAAAGAACCUCUCCAGUCAAGAAAGGCAUUGUCUAUUCCUACAUGAGGUCAAGCUAUCUGGCUAGUACCUACUAACUUGGAAGUUGCUUUUGCUCAUCUUUCUGCUGGUUGGCCAAAAUCAGAAUCAUUUCCUAGCCUUGAAGGCUCUAGAAGAGGUGAUUGCCUUCUUUUAGGAUGUUUUAAGGCUAGAGUGCAGAUGCAUUGUCAAAAGUAUGUGUAGAAGCUAAAACUGCUUAUCCGAGUGCGACUUUAUAGCUAUCAAGAUAGAAAAAUGGAUCGUUGAACUCUAGCUCAUGCUAGCCUUUCAUUCACUUACAAAACAGAGGAGAAGAGCGAGGCUAUAGAAUAGUGUGAAUUGGCUGCUUCUUUCAAUAACGUGCUUAUUCCUUUCUUUUAAGACUACAUCCACAGCUUCACACUUGCCAAUUGAGUCUGUUGGCUAGUUUUGAUCACCUUGAAUUCGAUUUCUCAUAUGAGAUAGAGGUAGAUGAUAUAAGGUUCAAUCAUGUUCCAAACUUGAAUUGAG
RNAcentral lists this long non-coding RNA (668 nucleotides) under Elaeis guineensis (African oil palm). RNAcentral's name for it is "long non-coding RNA (EGUI_LNC015665)". Lineage: Eukaryota; Viridiplantae; Streptophyta; Magnoliopsida; Arecales; Arecaceae. The record is from RNAcentral.